This is a long non-coding RNA of Malus domestica (apple), 202 nucleotides long. RefSeq lists it as uncharacterized. The record is from RefSeq and is a predicted model, not a curated record. NCBI's taxonomy places the organism in Eukaryota, Viridiplantae, Streptophyta, Magnoliopsida, Rosales, Rosaceae.
UUUCAGGGAGGUAGCGUUGGCCAUCUUCAUAAACUACUUUCAAUUGAGUCAAGUUCACAGGUUCUUUAUGUUGGUGACCAUAUAUAUGGAGAUAUUUUGCGCAGCAAAAAGGUUCUUGGGUGGAGAACAAUGCUUGUCGUUCCAGAGCUAGAGAUGGAGGUUGAACUCCUAUGGGAAUUGAGAGAUACCCGCAAGAUCUUUC